GUUCCCAUAUUUUAACAACCCUCUCAACGCUGAUGGCACUAAACGAUUUGACUUGUUACCAAUUAAUGACGGCCCUGGUGUAGCACCUCAAUCAAAUAGAACCAUUUUCGUUGCUCCCAAUCAGUUCUUAUUGAUAUACCCCAUGGGGCAGGAGUGCUUCAAAGAGUUUAUGGAAGCAUUGAGAAGCAACUUGGGAGAUUCAAGUUUCAUUUCUCCAUGUGACUGCAAGAACUGAAAUGCCAAGUUUAUCCAUAAUCACAAUAUAUUCGGGGAGCACUUGAUAGCUAGAUCGUGAAGCACCUUUUAGAAUCGAAUAAAUGAAUCGACAUUUGGCGACAUUGUGAUCAAUGUCAUAGUCCUUGAGAUAUAGAUUAUCGAUUUUAAGGAAAUUGUAUGGAAAAUGUAGCAGACACUGAUUUUAACAAAACCUCUCAUAGUUUCAGCGCAGUGGAUUGAAAAACAUCUUUACGGAACCGCGAAUCUAUAGUUUAUGUUAACAUUGUGUAACCAAUGAUCGCUUCUCCGAUGAUAUAACACAGGCGCAUUUAUAAGUAAGAACCUCAUGCAAGUUGACUAUGAGGAGUAUCAGGGUGAGAGCUAUUGUGAAUGUGAUGAAUGAAUGAUGUGAUGAACUGAUAAAAAAAUUUCUUGGUCUGAGCGUCUCUCUUCUAUGCCAUAGAAAAAUCAGAACCAGGUUAUCAGUAUGUGUAGUUUCCUCCACGUUUUCACUGACAGAGUCGUGUGACGUUUUGCCGCAUCUAACUUGCACCAGCAGAAGAGGUUGUUGCACUUCAGGUGCAUUUCCAUGGAAAAAAUAGGUUGCGAUGGUUUUAGAAGGGUCGUUGAAAUCGAAUCUUCAACAAUAC
This is a long non-coding RNA of Hermetia illucens (black soldier fly), 866 nucleotides long. RefSeq lists it as uncharacterized. NCBI's taxonomy places the organism in Eukaryota, Metazoa, Arthropoda, Insecta, Diptera, Stratiomyidae. The record is from RefSeq and is a predicted model, not a curated record. The transcript is spliced from 3 exons.